Long non-coding RNA from Sciurus carolinensis (gray squirrel), 1825 nucleotides. RefSeq lists it as uncharacterized. The transcript is spliced from 3 exons. The record is from RefSeq and is a predicted model, not a curated record. NCBI's taxonomy places the organism in Eukaryota, Metazoa, Chordata, Mammalia, Rodentia, Sciuridae.
GCCACCGGGGCGCGAGCUCGCGCGUGCAGCGCUGCCCUGGCGCCGGCGGCUCGCUACUCCUCACGCUGCGGAGGCCGAGGCCGGCGGCCCUCCGAGGUCGCCCGGGGACGGCGCGGCUGUCCUGGGGCCGGUUCUGUGCGUCGCCGCCCAGCCAGGCGCUGCUGCUUUGUGGGCAGUGGGGCAGACGACCUGGGAGCCCCAAGAGGAUCUCUUAGGCCCAGAUGUGGCCCGCAGAGGCCUCGGACUGGCUAGUCACACGUGUGCAGAGAACACCAGAGAAAGUUGGUGCUGCAGUUCUUAAUGACUCUACCCUUUCAGGCCAGCCCCAGAAUCAAAAGGACAAAAGUGGGUAUGCUGGCAAGAGGAUCUUCCAAGUUUUUGAAAUCUGAAGAGCUGGGGACUAGUUUUCAUCAGUCUCUGGUGACGUAAUACUUUGUCAACGGUGUUUGGAGCAGGAGGAUUGUUCACCAUAGUCAGCCCUCCAUUCUGCUAGAAAUGGCCACUGGCCCUGACAUUCUAAAACACUAGGCUGAUGAUUCCUGUCCUUGUCCUGUUUUGGCAUUUGGAAGAAAGAAUGGGUGAAAAUAUAGAGGUGGAGAGCAGCCACCCUUUAGGAAGAACAGGCAUAACCUGCUGCCUACACAAGCCUGUUUUUAAAGAGGAAAGAUGCUCCUAGUUACUGACUUGUGUCCAGGGAGGCCUGGCCAUUUCCUCAAGGGAGCCAGCCAGGGACUUCUGUUAGGCUGCUCUGUGUGAGUCAGGCUUACUGAGCAAGAUCAGCUCUUGGACUUCUGCAGGGGCAACAUCCCAUCCACUUGACCCCAGGUUGUGAGCAGGGUUGCUGGACACAGCCAGUUCCCACUGCCCACCUCACAGGACCUUCUGUCUGCAGGAUGGUGCUCUCUCAUGACAGCUGUACCCUCAGAUCACCAGAGACUCAAAAAUGUACCAGGAAUUCACUUUGCAGCACAGCACGUUUCAGGUCCCUGUGUAGGGUGACCACACCCAGAUUCCAAAGGAGAAUCUCAGCAGCCCUGGCUCCUCCUGUGGGCCUUCCCCAGCUCCUCAGGUGUGUCUGCCUCGUGACUGAGCCAUGGUGCUGUCAGGCAGGGAUGUGGCCUACUUCUGUGGUUGUGCAUGACAUCCUUUGUCCCAGGUAAGAGGUAGGUUUCUUUUUCAUCUGAAGCAUGUUUCCGUGACUGUCCUGGUUCUAUGGAAGAACCAGGGAGUCUGCACAAUUUGUGCUGUGCACCAUCCCUCUUGUGAGCUCCAGGAACCCAUACUCUGCCUCAAGAAUCUUCUAAGGCUUCCCUUUGACUUCUGAGCCUCCUCUCAACCUAUCUGUCUUGUUUAAUUUCCUGAUAUUGCCUCUUGUGACCCUGUGCAUUGCGACUUCACUGGCCUGCUUGAUCUCCACAGCACAGCCCACAUGCUUGGACUUCUGCCUAAGACGUUUGUCCUUGUGGCCCCUGACCACAAAUCUUGCUAUGUUAGAAUUAUCCAGACAAACAGAACCAGUAGGAUGGAUAGAUAGAUAGAUCUAUAUUGACCUGUCCACUCAUCUAUCCCUAUCUAUCGAUCAAUUGAUCAAUUUGUUUUAGGGAAUUGGCUCACAUGACUGUGGAGACUGGCAAGUCCUAACUCUAUAGGACAGCGCAGUGGGCUGGAGCCCCAGGAAAGAGUUGAUGUUGCAGUCUUGAGUCUGAAGGCUUGUCUGGAGGCAGAAUCCCUCCUUCCUCUGGUAACCUGUCUUCUCUCUGAAGGCCUUUAACUGAUUGGAUGAGGCCCACCUACCUUAUGGAGGGUGACCUGCUUUACUCAAAGU